This 741-nucleotide ribosomal RNA is filed under the name Triticum aestivum (bread wheat). RNAcentral describes it as "partial small subunit ribosomal RNA". Lineage: Eukaryota; Viridiplantae; Streptophyta; Magnoliopsida; Poales; Poaceae. The record is from RNAcentral.
AUGCAACCUAAUGUCCUGGAGGAAAUACUCGACGGAAACAUGAAGCCAACGGAUCUACGCUUAGCACUUUUAGAGAACAUCACAGACAAUUUCUCCAAAGAGCGGCAAAUAGGCGAGGGUGGGUUUGGAAUGGUUUACAAGGGUGUGCUCAGAAAUGGGAAUGUCGCUGUAAAGAAAAUUAUGAACACUCACACAAUUGACGAGAAGCUAUUUCGUCGCGAGGUUACCAGCUUGAUGAAGGUUAACCAUAAAAAUGCAGUACGGUUUCUUGGGUUCUGUUCUAAUACGGAGCAUAAAGCCAUACAAAUUAGCGGAUCAGCAGAAUAUAUUUUUGCUGAGUUAAGACAACGAUUGCUCUGUUUUGAGUAUAUCAACAAUGGAAGCCUUGAUAAAUAUAUUACGGAUGAAUUGAGGGGACUUGAAUGGAACAUACGGUAUGACAUAAUUAAAGGAAUCUGUGAAGGAUUGCAUCACCUUCACAAGGAAAAUGGUAUAAUUCAUAUGGAUCUUAAACCGGUCAAUAUACUACUAGAUGAUCAAAUGGUACCAAAAAUUUCCGAUUUCGGCCUUUCAAGACUUGAGGAAAACUCACAAACCAUGAGUACACACCGCUUCUUAUCACUGUACGUAAGCUCUGCAUCAAGCAAGCCAAUUCCUUUCCCUGGCUUCUACUUGCUUAAAUUAGAAACAAUUUUUUGUACUAUUAUGCAGAGGAUACUGUGCUCCGGAAUACCAAUUUGA